GUCGUUGUAGUAUAGUGGUGAGUAUUCUUGCCUGUCACGCAAGUGACUUAGGUUUAAUCCCCGAUAACGGCA
This 72-nucleotide transfer RNA is filed under the name Ipomoea nil (Japanese morning glory). It matches the Rfam family "tRNA". From Rfam's summary of the family: Transfer RNA (tRNA) molecules are approximately 80 nucleotides in length. Lineage: Eukaryota; Viridiplantae; Streptophyta; Magnoliopsida; Solanales; Convolvulaceae. The record is from Rfam by way of RNAcentral.